This 253-nucleotide ribosomal RNA is filed under the name uncultured bacterium. Its description in RNAcentral is "partial 16S ribosomal RNA". It matches the Rfam family "Bacterial small subunit ribosomal RNA", at positions 524 to 776 of the family's 1533-position model. The record is from RNAcentral.
UACGAAGGGAGCUAGCGUUGUUCGGAAUCACUGGGCGUAAAGCGCACGUAGGCGGAUGUGUCAGUCAGGGGUGAAAUCCCGGAGCUCAACUUCGGAACUGCCUUUGAUACAGCACGUCUUGAGUCCGAUAGAGGUGGGUGGAAUUCCUAGUGUAGAGGUGGAAUUCGUAGAUAUUAGGAAGAACACCGGUGGCGAAGGCGGCCCACUGGAUCGGUACUGACGCUGAGGUGCGAAAGCGUGGGGAGCAAACAGG